This 28-nucleotide non-coding RNA is filed under the name Mus musculus (house mouse). The record is from RNAcentral. Lineage: Eukaryota; Metazoa; Chordata; Mammalia; Rodentia; Muridae.
UGCUUACAGAGAAGAGUGCCACUCAGGU